GACGAACCGUGCGAACGUUGUUCGGAUUCACUGGGCGUAAAGGGUGCGUAGGCGGUUUGAUAAGUCUGAUGUGAAAUCCCGCAGCUUAACUGCGGAACUGCGUUGGAAACUAUUUGACUAGAGGAAUGGAGGGGAGACUGGAAUACUUGGUGUAGCAGUGAAAUGCGUAGAUAUCAAGUGGAACACCAGUGGCGAAGGCGAGUCUCUGGACAUUUCCUGACGCUGAGGCACGAAAGCCAGGGGAGCAAACGGG
RNAcentral lists this ribosomal RNA (253 nucleotides) under uncultured bacterium. RNAcentral's name for it is "partial 16S ribosomal RNA". It matches the Rfam family "Bacterial small subunit ribosomal RNA", at positions 524 to 776 of the family's 1533-position model. The record is from RNAcentral.